This 440-nucleotide ribosomal RNA is filed under the name uncultured bacterium. Its description in RNAcentral is "partial 16S ribosomal RNA". It matches the Rfam family "Bacterial small subunit ribosomal RNA", at positions 338 to 795 of the family's 1533-position model. The record is from RNAcentral.
CCUACGGGUGGCAGCAGUAGGGAAUAUUGCUCAAUGGGGGAAACCCUGAAGCAGCAACGCCGCGUGGAGGAUGAAGGUUUUAGGAUUGUAAACUCCUUUUGUUAGAGAAGAAGAUGACGGUAUCUAACGAAUAAGCAACGGCUAACACCGUGCCAGCAGCCGCGGUAAUACGGAGGGUGCAAGCGUUAGUCGGAAUCACUGGGCGUAAAGAGUGCGUAGGCGGGGUAAUAAGUCAGAUGUGAAAUCCUGUGGCUUAACUACAGAACUGCAUUUGAAACUGUUACUCUGGAGUGUGGGAGAGGUAGGUGGAAUUUUUGGUGUAGCGGUGAAAUCCGUAGAUAUCAAGAAGAAUACUCAUUGCGAAGGCAACCUGCUGGAACAUUACUGACGCUGAUGCACGAAAGCGUGGGGAGCAAACAGGAUUAGAUACCCUAGUAGUC